This 1410-nucleotide ribosomal RNA is filed under the name Coelostoma lemuriense. Its description in RNAcentral is "SSU rRNA". It matches the Rfam family "Eukaryotic small subunit ribosomal RNA", at positions 423 to 1734 of the family's 1831-position model. The record is from RNAcentral. Lineage: Eukaryota; Metazoa; Arthropoda; Insecta; Coleoptera; Hydrophilidae.
AGGCAGCAGGCGCGCAAAUUACCCACUCCCGGCACGGGGAGGUAGUGACGAAAAAUAACGAUACGGGACUCAUCCGAGGCCCCGUAAUCGGAAUGAGUACACUCUAAACCCUUUAACGAGGAUCAAUUGGAGGGCAAGUCUGGUGCCAGCAGCCGCGGUAAUUCCAGCUCCAAUAGCGUAUAUUAAAGUUGUUGCGGUUAAAAAGCUCGUAGUCGAAUCUGUGUCUCACGCCGCCGGUUCAUCGCUCGCGGUGUUUAACUGGCGUGCCGUGGGACGUCCUGCCGGUGGGCUUCGCCUCUUCGGGGGCGGCCCAACUUCAAAUCCCACCGCGGUGCUCUUCGCUGAGUGUCGAGGUGGGCCGGCACGUUUACUUUGAACAAAUUAGAGUGCUUAAAGCAGGCUAAAACUUCGCCUGAAUAUUCUGUGCAUGGAAUAAUGGAAUAGGACCUCGGUUCUAUUUUGUUGGUUUUCGGAACCCCGAGGUAAUGAUUAAUAGGAACGGAUGGGGGCAUUCGUAUUGCGACGUUAGAGGUGAAAUUCUUGGAUCGUCGCAAGACGGACAGAAGCGAAAGCAUUUGCCAAAAACGUUUUCAUUGAUCAAGAACGAAAGUUAGAGGUUCGAAGGCGAUCAGAUACCGCCCUAGUUCUAACCAUAAACGAUGCCAGCUAGCGAUCCGCCGACGUUCCUCCGAUGACUCGGCGGGCAGCUCCGGAAACCGGUGGGCAGCUUCCGGGAAACCAAAGCUUUUGGGUUCCGGGGGAAGUAUGGUUGCAAAGCUGAAACUUAAAGGAAUUGACGGAAGGGCACCACCAGGAGUGGAGCCUGCGGCUUAAUUUGACUCAACACGGGAAACCUCACCAGGCCCGGACACCGGAAGGAUUGACAGAUUGAGAGCUCUUUCUUGAUUCGGUGGGUGGUGGUGCAUGGCCGUUCUUAGUUGGUGGAGCGAUUUGUCUGGUUAAUUCCGAUAACGAACGAGACUCUAGCCUGCUAACUAGGCGUAUUUUCGACAUCUCAAAGGCCCCACGGCCCGGCGUUUUCGCGUCGCGGUCGCGCGUGGUUUUUACUGUCGGCGUACAAUCAAUUCUUCUUAGAGGGACAGGCGGCGUCUAGCCGCACGAGAUUGAGCAAUAACAGGUCUGUGAUGCCCUUAGAUGUUCUGGGCCGCACGCGCGCUACACUGAAGGAAUCAGCGUGUCCUCCCUGGCCGAGAGGCCCGGGUAACCCGCUGAACCUCCUUCGUGCUAGGGAUUGGGGCUUGCAAUUGUUCCCCAUGAACGAGGAAUUCCCAGUAAGCGCGAGUCAUAAGCUCGCGUUGAUUACGUCCCUGCCCUUUGUACACACCGCCCGUCGCUACUACCGAUUGAAUGAUUUAGUGAGGUCUUCGGACCGGUACGCGGCGGCGCUCC